CUAGAAGAGCAGCUGAUGAAGCUGGAAGUUCAAGCCACAGAUCGAGAGGAGAACAAACAAAUUGCCUUGGGGACCUCCAAACUCAAUUAUCUGGACCCUAGGAUCACAGUGGCUUGGUGCAAAAAAUGGGGGGUCCCAAUUGAGAAGAUUUACAACAAAACCCAGAGGGAGAAGUUUGCUUGGGCCAUUGAUAUGACUGAUGAGGACUAUGAGUUUUGACCAGUCUCGGCAGGGGUUCUGUGAAAAGGAACAGUGUGGUUUGGGGAAGAUGGAUAAACUGAGCCUCACUUGCCCUCACACCCGAGGGAGAGGCCACAAGUCUUAACAAACCAACAUCUUUGCAAAAAGAUAGACCUGGAGAUACUAUAAGGGAGAGCUGAGCCAGUUGUCCUAUGGACAACUUAUUUAAAAAUAUUUCAGAUAUCAAAAUUCUAGCUGUAUGAUUUGUUUUGAAUUUUGUUUUUACUUUCAAGAGAGCAAGUGGAUGGGAAUUUGCCAGCAUCCUGCCAGGCAAAUUCAGCUUUGCUGCAAUGUUUGGAUUCUCUCAGCUACUGUAUGUGAAGUCUGAUUAUAUUGGUGCGUUUUUACAGUUAGGGUUUUGCAAUAACUUCUAUAUUUUAAUAGAAACAAAUUCCUAAACUCCCUCCUCUCCCCUAUUUCAGGAAUUUAAAAUUAAGUAGAACAAAACAAAAACCCAGCGCACCUAUUACAGCUGUCAUUCUAUCGUCAUGGGAAUCAGUUUUCAUUAAACUUGAAGCAGUUGUGACAUCGGCAGUGUUUUGGUUCAGACACCUAUUCACAGNAAAGCAUGAUGGGAAAAUAUUUCCUGACUUGAGUGUUCCUUUUUAAAUGUGAAUUUUUAUUUCGUUUUAAUUAUUUUAAAAUAUUUAAGCCUUCUUCUUGAUCUUAAAGAUCGUGUAGCUUGGGGUUGGGGAGGGAUGAAGGGCGAGUGAGUCUAAGGAUAAUGUAAUAAUCAGUGACUGAAACCAUUUUCCCAUCAUCCUUUGUUCUGACCAUUCUUUGUACCCUUUAAGAGAUCCAUCUUUUUCUUUGGAAACCCCAGUCUUUCAUUUGAAAGAUGUUAUUGUAUAAAAACUUCCACAGGUCAAUAAAUUUAGAGGAAAAUGAGCAUUUGGUCCAAGAAAAACAAAAACCAAAACAAAACAAAAAGAAAAAUAAUCAAGAUUUUAGGGCUUUUAUUUUUUCUUUUGUAAUUGUGUAAAAAAUGGAAAAAAAACAUAAAAAGGAAAAUUUUAAUGUGAAGACUUUUUUUUUGCUAUAAUCAUUAGUUUUAGAGGCAUUGUUAGUUAGUGUGUGUGCAGAGUCCAUUCCCACAUCUUUCCUCAAGUAUCUUCUAUUUUUAUCAUGAAUUCCCUUUUAAUCAACUGUAGGUUAUUUAAAAUAAACUCCUACAACUUAACGGAAA
Mus caroli (Ryukyu mouse) is the source of this 1426-nucleotide non-coding RNA. NCBI's taxonomy places the organism in Eukaryota, Metazoa, Chordata, Mammalia, Rodentia, Muridae. The record is from RefSeq and is a predicted model, not a curated record.